RNAcentral lists this ribosomal RNA (253 nucleotides) under uncultured bacterium. RNAcentral describes it as "partial 16S ribosomal RNA". It matches the Rfam family "Bacterial small subunit ribosomal RNA", at positions 524 to 776 of the family's 1533-position model. The record is from RNAcentral.
GACGAAGGGGGCUAGCGUUGUUCGGAAUUACUGGGCGUAAAGGGCUCGUAGGCGGCCAACUAAGUCAGACGUGAAAUCCCCAGGCUCAACUUGGGAACUGCGUCUGAUACUGGAUGGCUUGAAUUCGGGAGAGGGAUGCAGAAUUCCAGGUGUAGCGGUGAAAUGCGUAGAUAUCGGGAGGAACACCAGUGGCGAAGGCGACUUCCUGGCCUGUUCUUGACGCUGAGGAGCGAAAGCCAGGGGAGCAAACGGG